RNAcentral lists this ribosomal RNA (517 nucleotides) under uncultured microorganism. RNAcentral describes it as "bacterial SSU rRNA". It matches the Rfam family "Bacterial small subunit ribosomal RNA", at positions 9 to 514 of the family's 1533-position model. The record is from RNAcentral.
GAGUUUGAUCGUGGCUCAGGAUGAACGCUGGCGGCGUGCCUAACACAUGCAGGUCGAACGGAGUUUAUGGGGAAGAAGCUUCGGCGGAAUUCUUAUAAACUUAGUGGCGGACGGGUGAGUAACACGUGGAGAACCUGCCUCUUACCGGGGGGACAGCAGUUGGAAACGACUGAUAAUACCGCAUAAGCGCACGAGACCGCAUGGUCCUGUGUGAAAAGAUUUAUCGGUAAGAGAUGGCUCCGCGUCUGAUUAGCCAGAUGGCGGGGUAACGGCCCACCAAAGCGACGAUCAGUAGCCGGCCUGAGAGGGUGAACGGCCACAUUGGGACUGAGACACGGCCCAGACUCCUACGGGAGGCAGCAGUGGGGGAUAUUGCACAAUGGAGGAAACUCUGAUGCAGCGACGCCGCGUGAGUGAAGAGUAUUUCGGUAUGUAAAGCUCUAUCAGCAGGGAGAAAGACCUCGAAAGAGGGAUGACGGUACCUGAGUAAGAAGCCCGGCUAACUACGUGCCAGCAC